AAGUCGUAACAAGGUUUCCGUAGGUGAACCUGCGGAAGGAUCAUUAACACGUAUCCAACGUUAAAACCCCCCCCGUGAACUUUCAAUCCUGCUCUUGUAACCCGCGUAGUUCGCAAUCUCUGGUAAAUCAUAGCCCGGAAAGUUGUUUUGAUUCAGAGACCUCUGGCUACGUGAGAACAUUGGAACAGCUCCCCAUGCCCCCUUAUAACCCCACAGUUUAAUGUAAAGCUCAAUGUAAUACAUUGGGGAAAAAAACCGAACAACUGUUAACAAUGGAUAUCUUGGUUCUC
This 290-nucleotide unclassified non-coding RNA is filed under the name fungal sp. Its description in RNAcentral is "partial internal transcribed spacer region". The stretch from base 1 to 46 matches the Rfam family "Eukaryotic small subunit ribosomal RNA", at positions 1786 to 1831 of the family's 1831-position model. Lineage: Eukaryota; Fungi. The record is from RNAcentral.